This 465-nucleotide ribosomal RNA is filed under the name uncultured bacterium. Its description in RNAcentral is "partial 16S ribosomal RNA". It matches the Rfam family "Bacterial small subunit ribosomal RNA", at positions 28 to 507 of the family's 1533-position model. The record is from RNAcentral.
GACGAACGCUGGCGGCGUGCUUAACACAUGCAAGUCGAGCGGUAAGGCCCCUUCGGGGGUACACGAGCGGCGAACGGGUGAGUAACACGUGAGCAAUCUGCCCAUCACAUCGGGAUAACUCCGGGAAACCGAAGCUAAUACCGAAUACGACCACCUCCGGCAUCGGAUGGUGGUGGAAAGUUCCGGCGGUGAUGGAUGAGCUCGCGGCCUAUCAGCUUGUUGGUGGGGUAACGGCCCACCAAGGCUUCGACGGGUAGCCGGCCUGAGAGGGUGACCGGCCACACUGGGACUGAGACACGGCCCAGACUCCUACGGGAGGCAGCAGUGGGGAAUAUUGGACAAUGGGCGAAAGCCUGAUCCAGCAACGCCGCGUGGGGGAUGACGGCCUUCGGGUUGUAAACCUCUUUCAGCAGGGACGAAGCGCAAGUGACGGUACCUGCAGAAGAAGCACCGGCCAACUACGUG